GUGCCCUGCCUCUGAUGAAGCCCAUGUUGGUAGGGACAUCUGAGAGUUGAUGAAUGCCAACUGCUCUGAUGGUGGAGC
This is a small nucleolar RNA of Otolemur garnettii (small-eared galago), 78 nucleotides long. Lineage: Eukaryota; Metazoa; Chordata; Mammalia; Primates; Galagidae. The record is from Ensembl.